CAGUUAAAUCUGAAUUUCAGAUAAGCAACACAUAACUUUUUAGUGUAAGUAUGUGCCAUGCAAGAUUUAGGACAUACUUAUACUAAAAGGUUAAUUGUUGUUUAUCUGAAAU
Molecule: microRNA precursor, 112 nt
Filed under: Myotis lucifugus (little brown bat)
Lineage: Eukaryota; Metazoa; Chordata; Mammalia; Chiroptera; Vespertilionidae
Description: miRNA (ENSMLUG00000028261.1)
Rfam family: mir-1302 microRNA precursor family (bases 37-88)
Source: RNAcentral